RNAcentral lists this ribosomal RNA (468 nucleotides) under uncultured bacterium. Its description in RNAcentral is "partial 16S ribosomal RNA". It matches the Rfam family "Bacterial small subunit ribosomal RNA", at positions 28 to 507 of the family's 1533-position model. The record is from RNAcentral.
GACGAACGCUGGCGGCGUGCUUAACACAUGCAAGUCGAACGGAAAGGCCCUGCUUUUGUGGGGUGCUCGAGUGGCGAACGGGUGAGUAACACGUGAGUAACCUGCCCUUGACUUUGGGAUAACUUCAGGAAACUGGGGCUAAUACCGGAUAGGAGCUCCUGCUGCAUGGUGGGGGUUGGAAAGUUUCGGCGGUUGGGGAUGGACUCGCGGCUUAUCAGCUUGUUGGUGGGGUAGUGGCUUACCAAGGCUUUGACGGGUAGCCGGCCUGAGAGGGUGACCGGCCACAUUGGGACUGGGGUACGGGCCCGACUCCUAAGGGGGGCAGCAGUGGGGAAUAUUGCACAAUGGGCGGAAGCCUGAUGCAGCAACGCCGCGUGCGGGAUGACGGCCUUCGGGUUGUAAACCGCUUUCGCCUGUGACGAAGCGUGAGUGACGGUAAUGGGUAAAGAAGCACCGGCUAACUACGUG